RNAcentral lists this ribosomal RNA (450 nucleotides) under uncultured bacterium. Its description in RNAcentral is "bacterial SSU rRNA". It matches the Rfam family "Bacterial small subunit ribosomal RNA", at positions 335 to 799 of the family's 1533-position model. The record is from RNAcentral.
ACUCCUACGGGAGGCAGCAGUGGGAAUAUUGCACAAUGGGCGGAAGCCUGAUGCAGCGACGCCGCGUGAGGGAUGACGGCCUUCGGGUUGUAAACCUCUUUCGACAGGGACGAAGCGCAAGUGACGGUACCUGUAGAAGAAGCACCGGCCAACUACGUGCCAGCAGCCGCGGUAAUACGUAGGGUGCGAGCGUUGUCCGGAAUUACUGGGCGUAAAGAGCUUGUAGGCGGCUUGUCGCGUCUUCUGUGAAACUCACAGCUCAACUGUGAGCUUGCAGGGGAUACGGGCAGGCUAGAGUACUUCAGGGGAGACUGGAAUUCCUGGUGUAGCGGUGAAAUGCGCAGAUAUCAGGAGGAACACCGGUGGCGAAGGCGGGUCUCUGGGAAGUAACUGACGCUGAGAAGCGAAAGCGUGGGUAGCGAACAGGAUUAGAUACCCUGGUAGGCUCUG